Juglans microcarpa x Juglans regia is the source of this 78-nucleotide long non-coding RNA. RefSeq lists it as uncharacterized. Lineage: Eukaryota; Viridiplantae; Streptophyta; Magnoliopsida; Fagales; Juglandaceae. The record is from RefSeq and is a predicted model, not a curated record. The transcript has 3 exons.
GCUAGCGAGAAAGGCUAAAUACAGUCAUGGGUUGUGUAAGUGUUGCACACUCUUUUUAAAAAAAGUGAGGUCCACCAU